AUAGAGUUGAAGACGCUGACGGGAGUUGGCCGACGGCCGGUGAGGAGGGCGUCGGAGACUAUGGUGUGGCAGGAGGAGGGGUUGGGGGAACCGGUGCAGAGGUCAGAGGGGUGGGGCUGUUGGUAGGCGGAGAAUUGGAGGGAGACAAACGCGGACAAGGAGAUGACUGCAGCUAAGGAGAGCGUGACCCAGAGGGCUUUGCAGGCAACUGUUUUGCCGGCGUUGGGAGAGGAGAGGAGAGGCUCGUUUGGUGAUGCCAUUGUUG
Molecule: unclassified non-coding RNA, 265 nt
Filed under: Hevea brasiliensis (rubber tree)
Lineage: Eukaryota; Viridiplantae; Streptophyta; Magnoliopsida; Malpighiales; Euphorbiaceae
Source: RNAcentral